This 318-nucleotide long non-coding RNA is filed under the name Homo sapiens (human). Its description in RNAcentral is "non-protein coding lnc-DDIAS-9:1". The record is from RNAcentral. Lineage: Eukaryota; Metazoa; Chordata; Mammalia; Primates; Hominidae.
CUGUGCCUGCUGGGCUUCUCAGCUGCUGAGCCAGUCAUCCCCAGAGCUGGGGGCCUCUGUUGAGUGGUGCCCAAGGCAAGGAGGGCUCAGCUCACCUGUGGAAUGCCCUCAUCUACUGUGUGGCUCCUGGGAUGGGACUGAGCUUGCUAAAUGUGUUCCUGAAGUCGCACCACAGAGAGCAUGAGAGGCCUGAGUUCAUUGAGUUCAUUGCCUACUCCCAUCUCCCGAUCAAGUUCAAGUCCUUUCCCUGCAGAGAUGGUAACCACACUUUAUUCCAUAACCUUCAUGUGAAUCGGCCUCCAACUAGCUAUGAAAGUG